GACGAACGCUGGCGGCGUGCUUAACACAUGCAAGUCGAACGGAAAGGCCCUGCUUGCAGGGUACUCGAGUGGCGAACGGGUGAGUAACACGUGGGUGAUCUGCCCUGCACUUCGGGAUAAGCCUGGGAAACUGGGUCUAAUACCGGCUAGGAGCCAUUUUUAGUGUGAUGGUUGGAAAGUUUUUUCGGUGUAUGCUGAGCUCGGGCGCUGUCAGCUUGUUGGUUGGGUAAUGGCCUACCAAGGCGGCUACGGGUAGCCGACCUGAGAGGGUGGACGGCCACACGGGAUGGGAGACACGGUCGAGACUCAUACGGGAGGGAGCAGUAGGGAAUCUUCCGCAGUGGGCGAGAUCCUGACGGUGCGACGCCGCGUGAUUGCUGAAGGGCUUCGGAUCGUAAAGCUCUGUUAUUAGGGAAGAACAAGUGUGUAAGUAACUAUGCACGUCUUGACGGGACCUAAUAAGAGAGCCACGGCUAAGUACGUG
Molecule: ribosomal RNA, 484 nt
Filed under: uncultured bacterium
Lineage: Bacteria
Description: partial 16S ribosomal RNA
Rfam family: Bacterial small subunit ribosomal RNA
Source: RNAcentral